AAAAUCUCUUGGUUUUAUGUCUUCCAGACUGCUUGUUGCUGAGGGCAAAUUGUGGAAUGGAGACUGGUGGAAUUUCACUGCGCUGCAGAAAUUAGGAGCGACUACGACAUUAAAAGCAACAGCAGGUUAAAAGCAUUCCAGUGAGAUGAAGACAUCUGCCUUGUAUUUUCACAUUGCAGAAGAAAAGUUAAGGACAGGAAGAA
This 203-nucleotide long non-coding RNA is filed under the name Mustela putorius furo (domestic ferret). RNAcentral describes it as "lncRNA (ENSMPUG00000028507.1)". The record is from RNAcentral. Lineage: Eukaryota; Metazoa; Chordata; Mammalia; Carnivora; Mustelidae.